GGGACACGUGGUAUCCUGUCUGAAUAUGGGGGGACCAUCCUCCAAGGCUAAAUACUCCUGACUGACCGAUAGUGAACCAGUACCGUGAGGGAAAGGCGAAAAGAACCCCGGCGAGGGGAGUGAAAAAGAACCUGAAACCGUGUACGUACAAGCAGUGGGAGCACCCUUCGGGGUGUGACUGCGUACCUUUUGUAUAAUGGGUCAGCGACUUAUAUUCUGUAGCAAGGUUAACCGAAUAGGGGAGCCGGAGGGAAACCGAGUCUUAAUUGGGCGUUAAGUUGCAGGGUAUAGACCCGAAACCCGGUGAUCUAGCCAUGGGCAGGUUGAAGGUUGGGUAACACUAACUGGAGGACCGAACCGACUAAUGUUGAAAAAUUAGCGGAUGACCUGUGGCUGGGGGUGAAAGGCCAAUCAAACCGGGAGAUAGCUGGUUCUCCCCGAAAGCUAUUUAGGUAGCGCCUCGUGAAUUCAUCUCCGGGGGUAGAGCACUGUUUCGGCUAGGGGGCCAUCCCGGCUUACCAACCCGAUGCAAACUGCGAAUACCGGAGAAUGUUAUCACGGGAGACACACGGCGGGUGCUAACGUCCGUCGUGAAGAGGGAAACAACCCAGACCGCCAGCUAAGGUCCCAAAGUCAUGGUUAAGUGGGAAACGAUGUGGGAAGGCCCAGACAGCCAGGAUGUUGGCUUAGAAGCAGCCAUCAUUUAAAGAAAGCGUAAUAGCUCACUGGUCGAGUCGGCCUGCGCGGAAGAUGUAACGGGGCUAAACCAUGCACCGAAGCUGCGGCAGCGACACUGUGUGUUGUUGGGUAGGGGAGCGUUCUGUAAGCCUGUGAAGGUGUGUCGUGAGGCAUGCUGGAGGUAUCAGAAGUGCGAAUGCUGACAUAAGUAACGAUAAAGCGGGUGAAAAGCCCGCUCGCCGGAAGACCAAGGGUUCCUGUCCAACGUUAAUCGGGGCAGGGUGAGUCGACCCCUAAGGCGAGGCCGAAAGGCGUAGUCGAUGGGAAACGGGUUAAUAUUCCCGUACUUGGUGUUACUGCGAAGGGGGGACGGAGAAGGCUAUGUUGGCCGGGCGACGGUUGUCCCGGUUUAAGCGUGUAGGUGUGUGUUCCAGGUAAAUCCGGUU
This 1124-nucleotide ribosomal RNA is filed under the name Salmonella enterica subsp. enterica serovar Newport. RNAcentral describes it as "partial 23S ribosomal RNA". It matches the Rfam family "Bacterial large subunit ribosomal RNA", at positions 419 to 1547 of the family's 2925-position model. The record is from RNAcentral. Lineage: Bacteria; Pseudomonadati; Pseudomonadota; Gammaproteobacteria; Enterobacterales; Enterobacteriaceae.